Long non-coding RNA from Sitodiplosis mosellana (orange wheat blossom midge), 2708 nucleotides. RefSeq lists it as uncharacterized. The record is from RefSeq and is a predicted model, not a curated record. NCBI's taxonomy places the organism in Eukaryota, Metazoa, Arthropoda, Insecta, Diptera, Cecidomyiidae. The transcript has 2 exons.
GCAGGAUGAAGCACGUAUCAUAUUAACAGCUUAAGGUAUUUUCAACAAAAUGUUAAUGAGUCCAUACCUAGAGUUUUUUUUUAUUGAAUUCGUUGAACUUAUAAUUGAAUGAACAAGAGAUCAAAGUGAUUGGAAUUCAUCAUCAUUAUCAUAAUUUUCAAAAUUAGAAUACGACCAAAUAUUCCAUUUCGAUAUUAUAUAGAUAAUGGCGCGUAAAUGAGAUGAUAGGAUCCAAAUAGGGCGGAAGUAAUGGAAUUUUGAUUAGGAGUCAAGAAUGUAGACAAGAAUCACACUAAAAUCAAUAACUACAUGGAAAUUUAUCAAUCUUUAUUCCACAUAGAAACGAGGCAAUAUUUUUAGAGUAUUUUAGUACAAAUAUGUCCAAUUUUCUGCUUUUGAAUGUGGCAAUUUUCUAAAUCUUAGGUAGUCCGUUCUUGCCCAAAUGGUCCGUUGUAAAAGUCAAAUGAUCCGCUCUAAAUCGGAAAAUGGUCCGUAAGUCUUCAUUUGUUUGAUCAUGUUUUGACCUUUUCCUAAGCAUUUUUUCGAAAUUUAUUCUUUCAGAAUGACUGAAUUUAAACCAUUUUUUCCGAACACUUUAUUUCCCAUAUAAAUGUUUUAAUUUUUCGAACACUUGGUAGAGAACGAGUUAAAUUUCGACAUAUUGGUAGACAGCGAAAUAGCAAACACAGAGCCGUAUCCAGAGUGGUGCGGAGUAUGCUCAGCAUGCCCAAAAAUUGCCUGAGCAUGCCCGAAGCAUGCUCGACUCAGAAAAAAAUUGUAUUAUUCUACAAUUUAUAUGCAAAAUUCAAAUGAAAUUAGCUCAGCUAUCAAUAAUAAGAACAACCAGUCGAUUAUUAUAAUUUCAAGAGCAAGAAGCAAGCUAUAUCCAAAAUGCAAUGUACAAUAUAUCGUUCACUCACUAUUGUUUAGUCUCAUGCCCAAGCCUCGAUUUCAUGUAUUACUUUACAUUAAAGCCGUCAAAUGACUGCUGCUAGCGACGUCUCACUGCGACAACGUUAACUACAGUAUACACCGUGCAAUUCUUCUUCUUCUUAACUUAUGCCACUUUUUUCUGUUGUGAGUAUGAAGCUUACGUUGUCGCAGUGAGAUCACCAUAUGGAAAAAGAAAUCAAGACUCGCUCAUGCCAUUUGGAUUGUUCACACAAUGUACUGUGGCUUAUCUUCCAUGUAUUUACAUAAUCGCAAUAUUGUCGCGUCAGCAGAUUUGCGAUCAACAGUUCAAUCAGCUGAUAAACAAACUGCUUAAAAAAUUUCAAAGAAUUCUGUGUUUGCAAUUCAAUGCAUUAUGUCAACUGUUUUAACGGUAUAUGACUUAAUGAAUACAAUCGCUUGCUCAUGAUUAAUCAUAAUCGAUCGGCGUUCUGGCUGCUGCCGAAAAUUGAGCGAACUUCAUUUGAGUUUCAAUUGUUGAAUUGCAAACAUUGUGUUCGAAAUGAAUAAAAAAUUAAAACAAGAGACUAUUGUUGGUCUCUUCCAGAGAAAUGCAAAUGCCGCCGUUGAAUCCGCUUCGACUUCAAGUGCUUCAGACAUAUUAUCACGAAAUAACGCUCCAGAAAUAGCUUCAAACAGUGAUCAACCAGUCUCUGAUAAUGCAAGUGAACGAGAUAAAGUGGCGAAUAUCGACUACCACAAUAUUUAAAUGAUUACAUUUCGGGUUUGAGCACCAAAGAUGAGCCGCGAAAAGAGGUAGAAAAUGCGUUCAAUCAAAACUAUUCAGAAAAUUCUUUCUGAAAUGGAACGACGUUUUGAAGAAAACAAUGAAAUAUUGUUAGCAUUGAGCACAGCAUAUGAAAUGGAUUUGAUCAAAAUGAAGCCACUUCUACCCCUUGGUGUAAAUUUGCCUGAUGAGAGCAGCAUCAACGUAGCCAAACAAUAUUUACAGAGAGAGGAAGCAAAGUCAAAACAAAAUGAUCCAGACUAUAAAUUUAAUGUCUUAGAAGAAUUAUAUAAAAUUCGUAUCGCGAUUCCCGAUGUUUAUGAUUGUUUCUGCAUGGUCGAAACGUUUGGAUAGAGCACAGCUAUAAGCUAGGGGGAUUUCUCACACAAAAAGUUUGAGAAAAUGUGUAAAAAUUUCUAUUAUUUCUUCUUUUUUAUUGAAAUUGUUUAAAAAUGUACUGAAAUGAGGAUUUUGCUUGAAUAAAGGUGUUCUGGAAGUGGGUUUUGGAGGAUCCUCAGGAUGGGCCAGAUCCGGUUUGACAUUGCCCUGGCCCAUCCUGAAGAUCCACUUCCAGAACCGGGAACAGUUCUGAACGAUCCUUGAGAUCCACCAAAACCCACUUCCAGAACAAUUUCAUUGAAGCAUAAUUCAAAAGCCCAGUGUAAAUGUACAUUUAUCUACACGAAUAGACAAAAAUUGAUCGAAUCGGACCGAAUUGAAGAAAUUUUUCAAAAUUUAUAAGAAUUAAUCCAUUUUUUUCGUGAGAAAUCCCUCUAGGCUAUAAGUGAGUCAUCUUUUUCGUGUUUGUCGCGAAUACAAACAAUCAAACGUAUGUCAAUGAGUGAGCAACGAAUGUACGAUCUUUCAUUUUUGGCCUUUGAAAAUAAAUAUUUACACGCAAUUCCAAAUGAACGUAUUCUUAAGUAUUUUUUUGAUGAAAAGCAACGUAAAAUUAAUAUUCUUUAAGAAAACAUAAUAAUCAUAACAAUCAUUGUUCGCACUUUAUUCAAUAAAUAUUUUUAUCUGGAAA